UCAUAAAAAAGUGUCCUGGUUUUAGAGUACAAGCAGAGCUUUUAUGUUCUUUGUUUUGCAUUAACACAGUAACUUUUUAUGUUUAACUAAAUGAUCAGGUAUUUAAAGAAUUCUGGUAUUCAGUGAAAGGUAGUUUGUUAGGUGUAUGUGUUUGUAGGUGUAGGUGUAGCUGUUUGUAAGUGUAGGGUAGGUGUUUGUAGGUGUUUGUAGGUGCAGUGUAGGUGUUUGUAAGUGUAGGGUAGGUGUUUGUAGGUAUUUGUAGGUGCAGUGUAGGUGUUUGUAAGUGUAGGGUAGGUAUUUGUAGGUGUGUGCAGGUGUUUGUGAGUGUAUUGUAGGUGCAGUGGAGGUGAUUGUAGGUGUCUGUAGGUGUAUUGUAGAUGUUUGUAGGUGCAGUGUAGGUGUUUUUAUGUUUCUAAAUGUAUUGUAGAUGUUUGUUGGUGCAGUGUAGGUGUUUGUAUGUGUUUGUAAGUGUAUUUUAGGUGUUUGUAGGUGCAGUGUAGGUGUUUGUAAGUGUAUUGUAGGUGUUUGUCUGUGUUUUUAAGUGUAUUGUAGGUGUAGGUUUUUAAGUGUAUUGUAGGUGUUUGUAGGUAUAGUCUAGGUGUUAGUAGGUGUUUGUAAGUGUAAGAUAUGUCUUUGUAUGUGUAGGGUAGAUGUCUGUAAGUGUAUUGUAGGUGUGUAGGUGUUUGUAGGUGUUUAAGUGUAUUGUAGGUGUUUGUAGGUUUGGGUAAGUGUUUCUUGGUGUUUAAGUGUAUUGUAGGUGUUUGUAGGGGUUUUAGGUGUUUGUGGGUGUUUGUAGGUGUAGUGUAGGUGUUUGUAGUUGUUUGUAGGUGUUUGAUUUUACUUUAGGUGUUUGUAGAUGUAGUGUAGAUGUUUGUAAGUGUAUUAUAGAUGUUUGUGGGUGUAGUGUAGGUGUUUGUAGGUGUUUGUAAGUGUUUAAGUGUAUUGUAGAUGUUUGUAGGUUUGGGUAGGUGUUUCUUGGUGUUUAAGUGUAUUGCAGGUGUUUGUAGGUGUUUGUAGGUGUUUGUAGUGGUUUGUAUGUGUUUGUAGGUGUUUGUAGGUGUUUGUGGGAGUUUAAUUGUAUUGUAGGUGUUUGUAGGUGUUUGUAGGUGUUUCUAAAUGUUUAAUUGUAUUGUAGGUGUAGUGUAGGUGUUUGUAAGUGUAUUAUAGAUGUUUGUAGUUGUUUGUAGGUGUUUCUAAAUGUUUAAUUGUAUUGUAGGUGUAGUGUAGGUGUUUGUAAGUGUAUUAUAGAUGUUUGUAGGUGUUUGUAGUUGUUUGUAGGUGUUUCUAAAUGUUUAAUUGUAUUGUAGAUGUAGUGUAGGUGUUUGUAAGUGUAUUAUAGAUGUUUGUAGGGGUUUGUAGGUGUUUGUAGGUGUUUGUAGGUGUUUGUAAGUGUAGUGUAGGUGUUUGUAGGCCCUGUGGUUUCAGUAAGGGAGGAGGUAGAACAGUGGAACGGUGUUCCUCAGCUCCUGGCUGGCUUGGUUUCGUGUUGCUGCACCGUGAGCACAAAAUGAAAGAUACACUCCUCUGGUCCACUCCUGUGAUUUUAAUUAAAUAGGGGUCAUGUGUACAGUCCACCUCCCACGUUUAGAGAAAUUUAAUCUGCAGUCAAAGCGCAAGUGUGUGUGUGUGUGUGUGUGUCCCACGGUCUCAGCCAUGUCACUCACAGCCCUGACCCACUGCGGCCUACAGCGCUGCACAUGUGGGAGAAGCCUGUGUGUAUAGUGUGUGUGUGUGUGUGUGUGUGUGUGUGUGUGUGUGUGAUUGAGAUACAGAGAGAAAGAAUGAAAGAAAGAAAGAAAAGAGAGAGAGAGAGAUUGAAAGUGAGACAGGGGUUGCACCUGCACUCUUAAUAAACGCAGUCAAGCAGACUGGACAUCUCUCUUAUUCCCCCUGUGUCCUCCACACACACACACACACACACACACACACACACACACACACACACACACACACACACACACACAGUUUAAAAAAUUGUGAUAUCGAAAUAUUAUUAAAAAAAAAGAACCUUUACUAUAUUUAUGUUUUCCUUUUCCUUUUUAUAUUUACAUUCUAUUUACUUUUACUGCAUUUAAAUAUUUGUAGUUUUUUGGCAGACCGCCAACAAUGUUAUGAUGAAACUGGCCCUCAUCAGCAAACAAUUUUUGGUUAGGAGAAUGUUUUCUAAACAACAUGUGUUUCGAAUCGCGUCAUACUCAGUAAUCACAGAUAAAUUUACUUUUGCAUUUAUUGUGCACAAAAAUAACAAAACUAAAUAUUUUUCCACUACUUUGGAGUGUUUAUAAUGUUUAUAUUAGUGCUGUGUGAUAUGAUGAUAAAUAUCGUGAGGAU
Long non-coding RNA from Astyanax mexicanus (Mexican tetra), 2331 nucleotides. RefSeq lists it as uncharacterized. NCBI's taxonomy places the organism in Eukaryota, Metazoa, Chordata, Actinopteri, Characiformes, Acestrorhamphidae. The record is from RefSeq and is a predicted model, not a curated record. The transcript has 3 exons.